This 253-nucleotide ribosomal RNA is filed under the name uncultured bacterium. RNAcentral describes it as "partial 16S ribosomal RNA". It matches the Rfam family "Bacterial small subunit ribosomal RNA", at positions 524 to 776 of the family's 1533-position model. The record is from RNAcentral.
UACGUAGGGUGCAAGCGUUGUCCGGAAUUAUUGGGCGUAAAGAGCUCGUAGGCGGUUUGUUGCGUCGGCUGUGAAAACCCGAGGCUCAACCUCAGGCCUGCAGUCGAUACGAGCAGACUAGAGUGUUGCAGGGGAGACUGGAAUUCCUGGUGUAGCGGUGAAAUGCGCAGAUAUCAGGAGGAACACCGGUGGCGAAGGCGGGUCUCUGGGCAACAACUGACGCUGAGGAGCGAAAGCGUGGGGAGCGAACAGG